UACGUAGGGCGCAAGCGUUGUCCGGAAUUAUUGGGCGUAAAGAGCUCGUAGGCGGUCUGUCGCGUCCGUUGUGAAAACUCGAGGCUCAACCUCGGGCUUGCAGUGGAUACGGGCAGACUAGAGUGCGGUAGGGGAGACUGGAAUUCCUGGUGUAGCGGUGGAAUGCGCAGAUAUCAGGAGGAACGCCGAUGGCGAAGGCAGGUCUCUGGGCCGCAACUGACGCUGAGGAGCGAAAGCAUGGGGAGCGAACAGG
This 253-nucleotide ribosomal RNA is filed under the name uncultured bacterium. Its description in RNAcentral is "partial 16S ribosomal RNA". It matches the Rfam family "Bacterial small subunit ribosomal RNA", at positions 524 to 776 of the family's 1533-position model. The record is from RNAcentral.